Long non-coding RNA from Gorilla gorilla gorilla (western lowland gorilla), 246 nucleotides. RefSeq lists it as uncharacterized. The record is from RefSeq and is a predicted model, not a curated record. Lineage: Eukaryota; Metazoa; Chordata; Mammalia; Primates; Hominidae. The transcript is spliced from 3 exons.
GUCCUGAGUUGUUAUCGCAAGUCCAGGAAGAAUGAGGUUACUCAGGCAACUGGAGGGUGAGGAUGGAGAAGAGCUUUAUUGAGCAACAGAACAGCUCUCAGCAGAGAGGAGACCCAAAGUGGGUAGCUCCUACCUGCAGGAAGGUUUCUGAAGGGGGCCAAGAUGGCCCAAUAGGAACAGCUCCAGUCUGCAGCUCCCAGAAAGACCAACACAGAAGGCAGGCUGAAGGUGACAUUACACUUAGAG